ACGGGUGAGUAACGCGUGGGAACCUACCCAGAACUUCGGAAUAACACAUGGAAACGUGUGCUAAUACCGGAUACGCCCUACGGGGGAAAGAUUUAUCGGUUUUGGAUGGGCCCGCGUAAGAUUAGCUAGUUGGUGAGGUAAUGGCUCACCAAGGCGACGAUCUUUAGCUGGUCUGAGAGGAUGAUCAGCCACACUGGGACUGAGACACGGCCCAGACUCCUACGGGAGACAGCAGUGGGGAAUAUUGGACAAUGGGCGCAAGCCCGAUCCAGCCAUGCCGCGUGAGUGAUGAAGGCCUUAGGGUUGUAAAGCUCUUUCAGUAGGGAAGAUAAUGACGGUACCUACAGAAGAAGCCCCGGCUAACUUCGUGCCAGCAGCCGCGGUAAUACGAAGGGGGCUAGCGUUGUUCGGAUUUACUGGGCGUAAAGCGCACGUAGGCGGAUCGUUAAGUUAGGGGUGAAAUCCUGGAGCUCAACUCCAGAACUGCCUCUAAUACUGGCGAUCUAGAGUCCGGAAGAGGUGAGUGGAACUCCUAGUGUAGAGGUGGAAUUCGUAGA
RNAcentral lists this ribosomal RNA (557 nucleotides) under uncultured bacterium. RNAcentral describes it as "bacterial SSU rRNA". It matches the Rfam family "Bacterial small subunit ribosomal RNA", at positions 102 to 694 of the family's 1533-position model. The record is from RNAcentral.